RNAcentral lists this ribosomal RNA (474 nucleotides) under uncultured bacterium. Its description in RNAcentral is "bacterial SSU rRNA". It matches the Rfam family "Bacterial small subunit ribosomal RNA", at positions 29 to 489 of the family's 1533-position model. The record is from RNAcentral.
AGCGAACGUUGGCAGUGUGUCUUAAGCAUGCAAGUCGAACGGCAGCAGGCCAUGUAGCAAUAUAUGGUGCUGGCGAGUGGCGAACUGGUGAGUAACACGUAAGAAUCUGCCCUAAGGUGGGGGAUAACUCAUGGAAACAUGAGCUAAUACCGCAUAAUGCGAAGCUUAUAGAGAUAUAAGUUUUGUUAAAGGAGAAAUCCGCCAUAGGAUGAGCUUGCGUCCCAUUAGCUAGUUGGCGGGGUAAAUGCCCACCAAGGCUAUGAUGGGUAGCUGGCCUGAGAGGGUGGUCAGCCACACUGGGACUGAGAUACGGCCCAGACUCCUACGGGAGGCAGCAGUGAGGAAUAUUGGUCAAUGGGCGAGAGCCUGAACCAGCCAAGUCGCGUGAAGGAUGAAGGUUUUAUGAAUUGUAAACUUCUUUGCAGGGGAAUAAAGUGUCCGACGUGUCGGAUUUUGUAUGUACUCUGCGAAUAA